ACGUAAAUCGUUGAAGUGGAACCGGAGAGAGUUGACGUAGUAUGGUGGAUAAGUAUUGCAAGAAUCGCUUCAAACAAUGAAUGUGAUCGAGUAAUAUGUACGUCACCAAAGACUGCGCUGACAGCAUCGACUACACGCUCUGAACUGUGUUGACAUGUUGCCUAUUCUAGUAUAUAGAAUGGUGUCUUGUGUUACGUGGUGAAGUUUGUUGUUAUGUUGUUGAUGUUGAUAAGUAUGAUUAUACACCAAGUAUAAUUAUGUCAGUGUAAAAGUCAACCACCUCUCCGACCCGUCUUGAAACACGGACCGAGGAGUGUAACUUGUACGCGAGUCAUUGGGUGGAAAAACCUUAAGGCGAAACGAAAGUGAAGGCACGGUUAACCGGCUGACAUGGGAAACGUGCGGUAUUGUUAGCGAGACGUUACACCAUGGCCCUGUCUUGUCUGCAUGCAGAUGGGCAGCGGUAGAGCGUACAGGUUGCGACCCGAAAGAUGGUGAACUAUGCCUGAGCAGGACGAAGUCAGAGGAAACUCUGGUGGAAGUCCGUAUCGGUUCUGACGUGCAAAUCGAUCGAUAGACUUGGGUAUAGGGGC
Molecule: ribosomal RNA, 593 nt
Filed under: Crenosoma striatum
Lineage: Eukaryota; Metazoa; Nematoda; Chromadorea; Rhabditida; Crenosomatidae
Description: eukaryotic LSU rRNA
Rfam family: Eukaryotic large subunit ribosomal RNA
Source: RNAcentral